RNAcentral lists this ribosomal RNA (467 nucleotides) under uncultured bacterium. RNAcentral describes it as "partial 16S ribosomal RNA". It matches the Rfam family "Bacterial small subunit ribosomal RNA", at positions 29 to 507 of the family's 1533-position model. The record is from RNAcentral.
ACGCACGCUGGCGGCGUGCUUAACCCAUGCCAGUCGAACGGUGAAGCUCCAGCUUGCUGGAGUGGAUCAGUGGCGAACGGGUGAGUAACACGUGAGCAACCUGCCCCUGACUCUGGAAUAAGCGCUGGAAACGGCGUCUAAUACUGGAUACGAGAAGGGUCCGCAUGGGCACUUUCUGGAAAGUUUUUCGGUUGGGGAUGGGCUCGCGGCCUAUCAGCUUGUUGGUGAGGUAAUGGCUCACCAAGGCGACGACGGGUAGCCGGCCUGAGAGGGCGACCGGCCACACUGGGACUGAGACACGGCCCAGACUCCUACGGGAGGCAGCAGUGGGGAAUAUUGCACAAUGGGCGAAAGCCUGAUGCAGCGACGCCGCGUGAGGGAUGACGGCCUUCGGGUUGUAAACCUCUUUCAGCAGGGAAGAAGCGAAAGUGACGGUACCUGCAGAAGAAGCACCGGCUAACUACGUG